CAGCCUGGCGGGGCUGGGCCAGGCCCCAGCGGUGGCCGGGAGGGGAAUGGGAGGCCGCAGGGCCCCAGCCAGAGCUGGGCCAGUUCACAGCUGCUGACAUCUUGCUAGAGCCAAGCCCUGCCCCUGCCCCUGCCUGCGCCGAGCCGGGGUCUGCCGGGCCCCGAGAGCGGCUCUGGGCUGGGCCCCGAGAGCGGCUCUGGGCUGGGCCAGGCCUCCCCACCAGUGGCUGCCAGGCAGAGGUUGGGGCCCAGCGCAGCCUGCAAUCCAUCACCGUGACUGGCCACUGCCCGUGACCAUCUGCAGGCCUAGACAAGGUACUAAACUUUUCACUGCACAGAGGAGACCUGCAGAACUUAAUCUUCCCUCAAAAAAGAGAAAAAGACACAGUAACAACACGUAAAAAGACAACAUGAAAACACCAAGGUCAGUAAAGAAGGAGUCAAGUCUCAGAUGGAAAGAAAAUGAGGAGAUGCCUAGUAUUGAGGCUGAAAGUUCUUUUGGAAGAGUGCCUGUGCUUCAUGAUGAUUGAAGAGCACACCUUGGAUUCUGACAGCUACAAGGAAAACACAGAAUCAAAAUAAGAACUUUUUUUUUUUAAAAAAAAAAUAGUAAUAAAAAUAAGAACAACUUCCCACCUGAAGUAAAUAUCACUUUGCAGGAGCAGAAGUACCACUCAAUAAAAUCAGCAAAAGGAAGCACCAAAUGAAGGAGAGCAAUAAGCCCAAAAGGAAACCUGAAUAUGGGAACAGGCUUAAAAUUGUGCAAGUGGAGUUGUUAAAAAAUUGGCAACCAACAGAGACCAGAAACAAACUGAGGAAAUCAAGUGAACUGAUUAAUCUAGUCAGUCAUUCUGCUCAUUAUUACAGAACUGGAAAAAGUAUUUUGCACUAAGUCCUUCUCUGAAUGCUCAUAUCUGCAACAGCACCCUAAUUUUUACAAUUAGGGGAAUAAAUGAGGUCAGAGUCUCAGUGGAAAGAGAACUCAGAGUUUGAAGAAUAUUCUUUCAGUUUAGCAGACCUUAUAGAAAAUUAUUCAACAGAGAAGAAAAAAAAAUUACUGAAGCAUUCAGCUUUUUUGCCUGUUGUGCUUCUUGAUUGCAAGAUACAUCAUUGAAGAAAUAUUCUGAUAAUUCACGUCAGUCAGCCAAAUAAUCAGGUCAAGAAAUGUAAUAUGAAGUGUUUUCUCAACAACAAAGGAAAUGUUGCUGACAGAUGUGUGUGCUAAUUACUACAGAUUUGUUUAAACCAGACAACCACCAUCAACUGCAGAGACUUCAACUGACUGAACAAGCAAUAUGCAAGUGUGCAGAAUUCAUCACAGCAAACAGAAGAGGAAUAAUCGUGGAGAGUAGAUGCUGAAACAUCAGCCCCAUCAGCAUGGCUCCUUAGAUGACAUUAAUGCUCUUAGCAAAACAAGAGACAAAGUUUAUAGAAGGUACCUGUGUAUGAUUUCUGGAACAGAUAAGACCUUCAAAUCUUACAAUAAAUUCAGGAGCUACUCACAUUAAAAAAAACUAAAAAAGGAGACAUAGUAAAGACACACAAAAACUACAGUUCAGAAAGAUGUCAUUUCUGGAGAAGGGAGUUGGCUGUUAAUUUAGCAAUGUUAAAGGGACAAUAAUAAAACUUGAUAACAUAUCACCUGGCAAAAUGAGGUGACAGCAACAUAGAUAUUCCAAAGACAGUAAGAUUAACAGAUACAGUCAGCACAGAAGAAUAAAAGGAAAGGUCAGAACAAAAUAAGUAAGAUCCAGCUGGAACUCUCCUUAGUAGAAAAAUUUUAAAAUCUCUCUCUAUGACUAGAGGCUUUGUUAUAAAAUCCAGGUUAACUAAUUUUUCUAUCAUGAAUACACUUACUGGUUUCCUCUAUACAGCUACCUGUCCUAAUAAAAUGCUAAAAAAAUGAACUCUCUUUUCAAAAUCCCCUAGUGCUAUAUUUGGUAUAAAUUUUAGAAGAUCUAAGAUAAGGAACGAAAGACUGAAAUAUGGAAAGCAUUAUAUUUAUAUCUUGUUACUUUAUAAAAUUAAUUUCAAAAAAGAAAAAAAAAAAGUUUCAUUUUUUAUAAGAAAGGCAAUCCCAUGUAAGCAUAGCCAAGGAAAAAAAAAGUAUAUUUAAUUAUUUGCUCUGUGUUCUGAUGUUAGUUAAAGCAGUAUAGCUGCUCUUUGUUCCUGCUAAUCAGACUGUCUCUGAGUGCAAUCAAUUGUUCAAUCUAACUUUGCUCUUUGUAUAUCCAGGUCACACAGUUCAGUCUAUCUAGACUCACACAGACUCAUAUCUGCAGCACAGUUUUCAUACAAAGCAAUACUGGAGGAUUAGCUAAAUAUUUCACCUUUAGAAAGAACGUGAAUAUCAAUAGGUCUGUAUUUCUACAUCUCAUUUAGCAGCAACAGAGAUUUUCAAGUAACAGAAUUUACUGGGAAGUGAUGAAAAAUUCUGAUUGCCACCUACAAAAGUUCCCUCUUCAUCUUCUAAUGGCAUGGCAGUGUCAUUAUGUUGUUUUGGAUUUUUCCU
Cyanistes caeruleus (blue tit) is the source of this 2511-nucleotide non-coding RNA. The record is from RefSeq and is a predicted model, not a curated record. NCBI's taxonomy places the organism in Eukaryota, Metazoa, Chordata, Aves, Passeriformes, Paridae.